RNAcentral lists this ribosomal RNA (514 nucleotides) under Alainius crosnieri. RNAcentral's name for it is "partial 16S ribosomal RNA". It matches the Rfam family "Bacterial large subunit ribosomal RNA", at positions 1831 to 2597 of the family's 2925-position model. Lineage: Eukaryota; Metazoa; Arthropoda; Malacostraca; Decapoda; Galatheidae. The record is from RNAcentral.
GUCUGUAUGAAGUUAUAUAGAGUCUAGCCUGCCCAUUGAAUAAUUUAAAAGGCCGCGGUAUAUUAACUGUGCAAAGGUAGCAUAAUCAUUAGUUUUUUAAUUGAAGGCUUGGAUGAAGGGUUGGACAAGGAAUAAACUGUCUUUAUUUUUAUUUUUGAAUUUAACUUUUAAGUGAAAAGGCUUAAAUAUGUUUAAGGGACGAUAAGACCCUAUAAAUCUUUACAUUAAGUUAUUUUUUUUAUUAGUUUGUAAUGUAUAAAAAAUAAUAAAAUAAUAGAUGUUGUAUUGGGGUGAUAAGAAUAUCAGGAAUAACUGUUCUAAAAAAUUAAGUCAAAGUUGUUUGAGUAUAGUAGAUCCUUUUUAGAGAUUAAAAGUUUAAGUUACUUUAGGGAUAACAGCGUUAUUUUUCUUGAGAGUUCUUAUCGAAAGAAAAGUUUGCGACCUCGAUGUUGAAUUAAAAUUUCUUUAUAGUGCAGAAGUUAUAAAAGAAAGUCUGUUCGACUUUUAAAUUUUU